ACAACUUCCUCAUCAGCCUAUCAAAGAUGUUACACGUGUGGGCGACAAAAGUCAAGCGGCACAAUAUGCUUUUGAAGUUACUAAAAAGCUUCUGAUUUAAACUGGAUGACCACAGUGUAGUGAUCCUGGCACCUGGUGCUUUUCACGGUGUGCGGCAAGUUGGAAUCCCAGGGCCAUCGUGAUAACCAACCACCAGACCUAAUCUGCCUGUCGACAGGCUGAACAUGCUGAUCCCAACCACACACAGCCCAUCUAAUAAAUUAGUACCAUCUUUAUUGGUGUGAGAAGAUAAGAUGAGGUGAGGUCAACUCCAGGACGGUCUCUCACUGGCGUCAGGGUACUGAUGGCACCAUAGAUGGUACUGACUGGGACUGACUGGUUUUGAGCAAAAGUCCAGAGAUGGGUCCCAAAUGGCACCCUAUUCCAUUCAUAGUGCACUACUUUUGACCAGGGCUCAUAGAAUAGCUUGUCACAUAUGUUAUAUGCGGGUGUUGUGCAGGUCCUGACCUCAUAUCCUUGGAGGAUACCGUUGGUGCUGAGAUGUUGGAUGGGGUCCCACAACACCUGCAUCUCGAAUGCUGUCAGAGCCGUGGCAUUGAUCCUCGAGGGCGCCACCGUGGGCUCUGCAUGGAGGGUCAUGGGUAAAAUAGGGGUUAGGGAGUCGGAUCAUAUCUAACACACAUAAGUACGAUAAACACAAUGAAUUUACAUUAUGUGGUUGGUUGGUAAACAUCUGCUUUUUUGUGUUUUUGUUCGCCCUCUUGUGGCAAACAAGCAUAAUGCUCCUAAUCCUUCCUGCAUGCCCCAGACCUGUUCUGACUCAGCCUCCUCUGCAGAGUGCACCAGGGUGAUCUGACUGAAGUGUUAAGGCUAGGGUUGAGGUUAGGGUUAGAGUUAGAGUUUGGGUUGCUCACCCUCUUCUGCAGAGUGCACCAGGGUGAUCUGACUGAAGGGUUAAGGCUAGGGUUGAGGUUAGGGUUAGAGUUAGAGUUUGGGUUGCUCACCCUCUUCUGCAGAGUGCACCAGGGUGAUCUGACUGAAGGGUUAAGGCUAGGGUUGAGGUUGGGGUUAGAGUUAGAGUUUGGGUUGCUCACCCUCUUCUGCAGAGUGCACCAGGGUGAUCUGACUGAAGGGUUAAGGCUAGGGUUGAGGUUAGGGUUAGAGUUAGAGUUUGGGUUGCUCACCCUCUUCUGCAGAGUGCACCACGGCGAUCUGGCUGAAGGGACCCUCUCCUUUACGGUUGUAGGCUUUGAUCUUCACCUCAAAGAGGCAAUAGGGAGACAGGCUCUGGUUGGAAUAAACGUAGCGAGACGACUCCACGUUGGAAACACGCUCCACCACCCACGUUGGAGAGUUCUGCUUCCGGAAUGCCAGGAUGUAGCCGAAGCCAUCUCCGUUCUGGUACUCUCUGGCCAUGGGCUGGGAUCAGAUUCAAACAAAACUUUAUGGACUUUUUCACAACUUUAUGGACUCCCCCCCACACACACACACACGCACACACUGACCGUCCAGGUGAUGAUGAGUUCGUUGCGGUCUCCUCCUCCUCCACCUAGUCCACUAGGGGCCACUGUGGGAGCUGCUUGCUGGGUGCGUAUAGUGUGAGAGGACAUACUAGGCUCUCCACUGCCCAGGAUGUUACUGGCAAUGACCUGGAAUUCAUAGUCCAUCCAUGGCAACAGGCCAACCACACGAAUCGACUCAGCAUUGCCUUCAAUGUUAGGUGGGUCUGUGGGAGAAGAGCGGAGGAGAAUGCAGAGGAAGGAAAGAAGGAGAAGUCAGUGACUAAUUGAUUGACACAAAAAUACACAGGUACACAGAUAAGCACACACACAGACAGUGGUGGUCCUCUUACCUGUCCUCAUCCUCUUCCAAUCAGGAGACAGUGGAGAGUGACCCAUGAUAACAUACUUCCCAAUGGGGCUGUGGUUGUCAUAGCCACGACUCCAACGCAACUCCACCGACGUCGCGGCAACGUUCUUCACCACCAAACCACCUGGAGGUCCCGGGGGACCUGAGGAGAGACAGUUGGAGAAUGCCUAGUCAGACAGGUGUCCAGUGCUGUUGGCCUUGCCCAGGUAGUUCUCAGCAAAGCAGGUAUACUUCCCCUCAUCGGCCCUGCUGAUGUUGUGGAUCCGCAGCAUCCCGUCUGGAGUCACUGUCACCCUGGAAGAAGAAGCAGGAAGCUCAAGUUACCUUCAUUAUCUUCUUGGGCUUUUUAAAUGUUUGGGCCUUUUAAGUGUUUGCAGUUUGUUGCUAGACGGGAGUUAAGGACGAAAUCAAAUCUAAAACAUGACAGACUUUCCUUCAGAUCAUGUUUCUCUUCUAAUCUCCAUUUGACCUUAACUUCUACCUUUUAUGUUUAAUUCCCUCUGGAGAUGUAUCAAGUGAACAUUCAUACACGUACACACAUGCGCAUAGACACACAGGUUAAUUAAUUAUGUUUUUCAUCUAGACACACAGACCUAACAAAGCACCCAAAUGUGAUGAAAUCCGAAGAAAUAGGUUCCUUUGAUACACACAUAACAGGGGAAUGCUCUUUUGAUCUUACCUUCUACUACAUACCUAUUGCACAUUUU
This is a long non-coding RNA of Oncorhynchus gorbuscha (pink salmon), 2576 nucleotides long. RefSeq lists it as uncharacterized. The transcript is spliced from 3 exons. The record is from RefSeq and is a predicted model, not a curated record. NCBI's taxonomy places the organism in Eukaryota, Metazoa, Chordata, Actinopteri, Salmoniformes, Salmonidae.